UCCGUAAGAAAAAGGUCCCUGGGGCUGGA
Molecule: non-coding RNA, 29 nt
Filed under: Mus musculus (house mouse)
Lineage: Eukaryota; Metazoa; Chordata; Mammalia; Rodentia; Muridae
Source: RNAcentral